This 497-nucleotide ribosomal RNA is filed under the name uncultured bacterium. RNAcentral's name for it is "partial 16S ribosomal RNA". It matches the Rfam family "Bacterial small subunit ribosomal RNA", at positions 28 to 507 of the family's 1533-position model. The record is from RNAcentral.
GAUGAACGCUGGCGGCGUGCCUAAUACAUGCAAGUCGAGCGAACAGACGAGGAGCUUGCUCCUCUGACGUUAGCGGCGGACGGGUGAGUAACACGUGGAUAACCUACCUAUAAGACUGGGAUAACUUCGGGAAACCGGAGCUAAUACCGGAUAAUAUAUUGAACCGCAUGGUUCAAUAGUGAAAGACGGUUUUGCUGUCACUUAUAGAUGGAUCCGCGCCGCAUUAGCUAGUUGGUAAGGUAACGGCUUACCAAGGCAACGAUGCGUAGCCGACCUGAGAGGGUGAUCGGCCACACUGGAACUGAGACACGGUCCAGACUCCUAAGGGAGGCAGCAGUAGGGAAUCUUCCGCAAAGGGCGAAAGCCUGACGGAGCAACGCCGCGUGAGUGAUGAAGGUCUUCGGAUCGUAAAACUCUGUUAUUAGGGAAGAACAAAUGUGUAAGUAACUAUGCACGCCUUGACGGUACCUAAUCAGAAAGCCACGGCUAACUACGUG